GAUGAACGCUGGCGGCGUGCCUAAUACAUGCCAGUCGAGCGAACAGACGAGGAGCUUGCUCCUCUGACGUUAGCGGCGGACGGGUGAGUAACACGUGGAUAACCUACCUAUAAGACUGGGAUAACUUCGGGAAACCGGAGCUAAUACCGGAUAAUAUAUUGAACCGCAUGGUUCAAUAGUGAAAGACGGUUUUGCUGUCACUUAUAGAUGGAUCCGCGCCGCAUUAGCUAGUUGGUAAGGUAACGGCUUACCAAGGCAACGAUGCGUAGCCGACCUGAGAGGGUGAUCGGCCACACUGGAACUGAGACACGGUCCAGACUCAUACGGGAGGCAGCAGUAGGGAAUCUUCCGCAAUGGGCGAAAGCCUGACGGAGCAACGCCGCGUGAGUGAUGAAGGUCUUCGGAUCGUAAAACUCUGUUAUUAGGAAAGAACAAAUGUGUAAGUAACUAUGCACGUCUUGACGGUACCUAAUCAGAAAGCCACGGCUAACUACGUG
Molecule: ribosomal RNA, 497 nt
Filed under: uncultured bacterium
Lineage: Bacteria
Description: partial 16S ribosomal RNA
Rfam family: Bacterial small subunit ribosomal RNA
Source: RNAcentral